GAUUACGGCCAUACCACACUGACAAUGCCCGAUCUCGUCUGAUCUCAGAAGCUAAGCAGAGUUGGGCUGGGUCAGUACUUGGAUGGGUGACCGCCUGGGAAUACCUGGUGCUGUAAGCA
RNAcentral lists this ribosomal RNA (119 nucleotides) under Cottoperca gobio. Lineage: Eukaryota; Metazoa; Chordata; Actinopteri; Perciformes; Bovichtidae. The record is from RNAcentral.